Molecule: ribosomal RNA, 433 nt
Filed under: uncultured bacterium
Lineage: Bacteria
Description: bacterial SSU rRNA
Rfam family: Bacterial small subunit ribosomal RNA
Source: RNAcentral
GAUGAACGCUAGCUACAGGCUUAACACAUGCAAGUCGAGGGGAAACGACAUCGAAAGCUUGCUUUUGAUGGGCGUCGACCGGCGCACGGGUGAGUAACGCGUAUCCAACCUGGCCCACCACUUGGGGAUAACCUUGCGAAAGUAAGACCUAAUACCCAAUGACGUCUCUAGAAGACAUCUGAAAGGGAUUAAAGAUUUAUCGGUGAUGGAUGGGGAUGCGUCUGAUUAGUUAGUCGGCGGGUAACGGCCCACCGAGACGACGAUCAGUAGGGGUUCUGAGAGGAAAGUCCCCCCACAUUGGAACUGAGACACGGUCCAAACUCCUACGGGAGGCAGCAGUGAGGAAUAUUGGUCAAUGGGCGGAAGCCUGAACCAGCCAAGUAGCGUGCAGGACGACGGCCCCUAUGGGGUUGUAAAACCUGGCCUUUUUUAA